CUGCAUUGCAACAGUGGCUACUCUCCAGAUGUACUUCAUUGACUAGAGCACCUUGGGACAUGCUGGAUCACGGAAAGUGCGUCUGUUCAUUAAUAACAAAAUUUCCCACUCAGCCAAGCCAACUGCAGACGUCUAGGUUGGCUAGACCUACAACUCUAAAUGGUGGGAUUGGGCGAAAUGGGAGAGAGAAUUUCAUCGACUACCCCCUGGAUGGUUAUCAGAAACAGGAAUCUUGGCUGGUUCUAACAUUCUCUUGGAAAGGAAAUGAAGGUGCCGGAGAGGGUGCACGUUUACAAGAAAGUUCCCGAGGAUAAGGAAUUAGAAGAUGUAUGGUGGAGAGCAUUCUGACUGGUUGCAUCACUGCCUGGUAUGGAGGCUCCAAUGUACAGGAUCGAAAGAGGCUGCAGAGGGUUGUAGACUCAGCGAGCUCCAUUACAGGCAUAACCUUCCCCGCCAUCGAGGACAUCUUCAAGAGGCGGUGCCACAAGAAGGCAGCAUCCAUCAUUAAGGACCCUCACCAUCCGGGACAUGCCCUCUUCUCAUUACUACCAUCAGGGAGGAGAUACAGGAGCCUGAAGACCCACACUCAAUGUUUCAGGAACAGCUUUUUCCCUUCCUCCAUCAGAUUUCUGAAUGGUCCAUGAACCCAACCCCAUUAUUUCUCUUUUGCACUAUUUAUUUACUUUUGUAACGUAUAGUAAGUUUUAUGUCUUGCACUGUACUGCUGCCACAAAACAACACAUUUCAUGACAUAUGUCAAUGAUAAUAAACCUGAUUCUGAUUUGUCUUGAUGUCCUAAAGGGGUUUACAUCCAAAGAGGCACUUUUGAAAUGUGUCUGCUGAUAUGACAUAGGAAACUUGUCGGAAUCCUGCUCUCUCUUGUUAGUUCCAGAUCAUCCUGGUCCCACCUGCCUUGAGAGUACUUGAUGUUGCCAGUGGAUGAAAGCACAAAUUAAAGGUCCCCUUCUCUGUCACUGUCACUCUUCAGUUUAAUGAGGAAACGAACAAAAGAAACCAAUUAUUUUUGGUGAACUUGGAGCACUGUAGCUUGAAAUCUUUUGCGAGACAUCAUGAGCUGCUUCCAAGUCACAAUUGUCUAGCAUGCAGCACAAAGUCAUGUUCAACGAUCCAAGAAAAGUCAUUUCAUUAAUUGCCAUCCCAGAGCAGGGAAAUUCAAUUUCUAUGCAAUCUAAUUCAAUUUAAUUCUGCACUGUGCCACUUAUCUCCUGCAGUAAUUGUCAAGGCCAAUCAAAGGAAAGGAAAACAGACUAUUCCAACUGCACAAAGAAUAAUUUGGGCUCCUGGAACUUGAUUUGCAAAUCUGGAUUUACUCUUGCCAAGUGAUGGAAGGCCAAAGAUAAAUCUAAAUAAAAAUACCACGACUGUUUUAAGUUAUUCAUCAAUUCUUCAGCCGUGUGAAAUGCUUCACCCAAAGCUGUAAGAAUAACAACCUUCAUUCUUACCAAGUGGGAGUCAAAGCUUCACUCAGAGCUGUAGAAAUCAUGAUUCUGUGUCCAGUGUCAGUGAAUUCAUCUUCAAAUCCUAUUUCCCACCAACUGCACGAGGAGCCUCAGACACUGCUCUAACCUGCUCACUCACUUACCGCCACCCCAAUUAAUCAGAACUGACCACUUUGCAGGACUCCUCUGUUCAAUCCACAAGGGUGACCCUGAGCUUCCAGCUGCCUGUCACUUUAAUUCCCUGCCCCACACCCACUCUGAACUCCCUUUCUUUGGCCUUCUGCACUGUUUCUAAUGAAGCUCAAUGCAAGUUUGAGUUACGUAGAACAUAGAACAUUACAGCACAGUACAGGCCCUUUGGCCCACGAUGUUGUGCCGACAUUUUAUCCUGCUCUAAGAUUUAUCUAACCCUUCCCUCCCACAUAGCUCUCCAUUUCUCUAUCAUUCAUGUGUCUAUCUAAGAGUCUCUUAAAUGUCCCUAAUGUAUCUGCCCCCACAACCUCUGCAGGCAGUGCGUUCCACGCACCCACCACUCUCUGUGUAAAAAACUUACCCCUGGCAUCCCCCCUAUAUGUUCCUCCAAUCA
Pristis pectinata (smalltooth sawfish) is the source of this 2046-nucleotide long non-coding RNA. RefSeq lists it as uncharacterized. The record is from RefSeq and is a predicted model, not a curated record. NCBI's taxonomy places the organism in Eukaryota, Metazoa, Chordata, Chondrichthyes, Rhinopristiformes, Pristidae. The transcript has 3 exons.